RNAcentral lists this ribosomal RNA (318 nucleotides) under uncultured bacterium. RNAcentral's name for it is "bacterial SSU rRNA". It matches the Rfam family "Bacterial small subunit ribosomal RNA", at positions 28 to 349 of the family's 1533-position model. The record is from RNAcentral.
GAUGAACGCUAGCGGCAGGCCUAAUACAUGCAAGUCGAACGGAAUAUGAUUUUCGGAUUAUAUUUAGUGGCGCACGGGUGAGUAACACGUACAUAACUUACCCUCAAGAGGGGGAUAGCCUCGGGAAACUGAGCGUAAUACCCCAUAGUAUUAUUGAACGGCAUCGUUUGAUAAUUAAAGCUACGGCGCUUGAGGAUAGAUGUGCGUCUGAUUAGCUAGUUGGUAAGGUAACGCUUACCAAGGCGACGAUCAGUAGGGGGCGUGAGAGCGUGGCCCCCCACACGGUACGUNAGACACGGACCGACCUCUACGGAGGGC